GGACUAACGUAGAGCUUAUACAUGCAAGUCGAACGCUUCUUUUUCCACCGGAGCUUGCUCCACCGGAAAAAGAGGAGUGGCGAACGGGUGAGUAACACGUGGGUAACCUGCCCAUCAGAAGGGGAUAACACUUGGAAACAGGUGCUAAUACCGUAUAACAAUCGAAACCGCAUGGUUUUGAUUUGAAAGGCGCUUUCGGGUGUCGCUGAUGGAUGGACCCGCGGUGCAUUAGCUAGUUGGUGAGGUAACGGCUCACCAAGGCGACGAUGCAUAGCCGACCUGAGAGGGUGAUCGGCCACAUUGGGACUGAGACACGGCCCAAACUCCUACGGGAGGCAGCAGUAGGGAAUCUUCGGCAAUGGACGAAAGUCUGACCGAGCAACGCCGCGUGAGUGAAGAAGGUUUUCGGAUCGUAAAACUCUGUUGUUAGAGAAGAACAAGGAUGAGAGUAACUGUUCAUCCCUUGACGGUAUCUAACCAGAAAGCCACGGCUAACUACGUGCCAGCAGCCGCGGUAAUACGUAGGUGGCAAGCGUUGUCCGGAUUUAUUGGGCGUAAAGCGAGCGCAGGCGGUUUCUUAAGUCUGAUGUGAAAGCCCCCGGCUCAACCGGGGAGGGUCAUUGGAAACUGGGAGACUUGAGUGCAGAAGAGGAGAGUGGAAUUCCAUGUGUAGCGGUGAAAUGCGUAGAUAUAUGGAGGAACACCAGUGGCGAAGGCGGCUCUCUGGUCUGUAACUGACGCUGAGGCUCGAAAGCGUGGGGAGCAAACAGGAUUAGAUACCCUGGUAGUCCACGCCGUAAACGAUGAGUGCUAAGUGUUGGAGGGUUUCCGCCCUUCAGUGCUGCAGCUAACGCAUUAAGCACUCCGCCUGGGGAGUACGACCGCAAGGUUGAAACUCAAAGGAAUUGACGGGGGCCCGCACAAGCGGUGGAGCAUGUGGUUUAAUUCGAAGCAACGCGAAGAACCUUACCAGGUCUUGACAUCCUUUGACCACUCUAGAGAUAGAGCUUCCCCUUCGGGGGCAAAGUGACAGGUGGUGCAUGGUUGUCGUCAGCUCGUGUCGUGAGAUGUUGGGUUAAGUCCCGCAACGAGCGCAACCCUUAUUGUUAGUUGCCAUCAUUUAGUUGGGCACUCUAGCAAGACUGCCGGUGACAAACCGGAGGAAGGUGGGGAUGACGUCAAAUCAUCAUGCCCCUUAUGACCUGGGCUACACACGUGCUACAAUGGGAAGUACAACGAGUCGCAAAGUCGCGAGGCUAAGCUAAUCUCUUAAAGCUUCUCUCAGUUCGGAUUGUAGGCUGCAACUCGCCUACAUGAAGCCGGAAUCGCUAGUAAUCGCGGAUCAGCACGCCGCGGUGAAUACGUUCCCGGGCCUUGUACACACCGCCCGUCACACCACGAGAGUUUGUAACACCCGAAGUCGGUGAGGUAACCUUUGGAGCCAGCCGCCUAUGGGGUAUUCCU
Molecule: ribosomal RNA, 1464 nt
Filed under: Enterococcus hirae
Lineage: Bacteria; Bacillati; Bacillota; Bacilli; Lactobacillales; Enterococcaceae
Description: bacterial SSU rRNA
Rfam family: Bacterial small subunit ribosomal RNA
Source: RNAcentral